Molecule: ribosomal RNA, 1346 nt
Filed under: uncultured bacterium
Lineage: Bacteria
Description: partial 16S ribosomal RNA
Rfam family: Bacterial small subunit ribosomal RNA
Source: RNAcentral
GACGAACGCUGGCGGCGUGCUUAACACAUGCAAGUCGAACGGAAAGGCCCUGCUUUUGUGGGGUGCUCGAGUGGCGAACGGGUGAGUAACACGUGAGUAACCUGCCCUUGACUUUGGGAUAACUUCAGGAAACUGGGGCUAAUACCGGAUAGGAGCUCCUGCUGCAUGGUGGGGGUUGGAAAGUUUCGGCGGUUGGGGAUGGACUCGCGGCUUAUCAGCUUGUUGGUGGGGUAGUGGCUUACCAAGGCUUUGACGGGUAGCCGGCCUGAGAGGGUGACCGGCCACAUUGGGACUGAGAUACGGCCCAGACUCCUACGGGAGGCAGCAGUGGGGAAUAUUGCACAAUGGGCGGAAGCCUGAUGCAGCAACGCCGCGUGCGGGAUGACGGCCUUCGGGUUGUAAACCGCUUUCGCCUGUGACGAAGCGUGAGUGACGGUAAUGGGUAAAGAAGCACCGGCUAACUACGUGCCAGCAGCCGCGGUGAUACGUAGGGUGCGAGCGUUGUCCGGAUUUAUUGGGCGUAAAGGGCUCGUAGGUGGUUGAUCGCGUCGGAAGUGUAAUCUUGGGGCUUAACCCUGAGCGUGCUUUCGAUACGGGUUGACUUGAGGAAGGUAGGGGAGAAUGGAAUUCCUGGUGGAGCGGUGGAAUGCGCAGAUAUCAGGAGGAACACCAGUGGCGAAGGCGGUUCUCUGGGCCUUUCCUGACGCUGAGGAGCGAAAGCGUGGGGAGCGAACAGGCUUAGAUACCCUGGUAGUCCACGCUGUAAACGGUGGGUACUAGGUGUGGGGUCCAUUCCACGGGUUCCGUGCCGUAGCUAACGCUUUAAGUACCCCGCCUGGGGAGUACGGCCGCAAAGCUAAAACUCAAAGGAAUUGACGGGGCCCCGCACAAGCGGCGGAGCAUGCGGAUUAAUUCGAUGCAACGCGUAGAACCUUACCUGGGUUUGACAUGGAUCGGGAGUGCUCAGAGAUGGGUGUGCCUCUUUUGGGGUCGGUUCACAGGUGGUGCAUGGCUGUCGUCAGCUCGUGUCGUGAGAUGUUGGGUUAAGUCCCGCAACGAGCGCAACCCUUGUUCACUGUUGCCAGCACGUUAUGGUGGGGACUCAGUGGAGACCGCCGGGGUCAACUCGGAGGAAGGUGGGGAUGACGUCAAGUCAUCAUGCCCCUUAUGUCCAGGGCUUCACGCAUGCUACAAUGGCUGGUACAGAGAGUGGCGAGCCUGUGAGGGUGAGCGAAUCUCGGAAAGCCGGUCUCAGUUCGGAUUGGGGUCUGCAACUCGACCUCAUGAAGUCGGAGUCGCUAGUAAUCGCAGAUCAGCAACGCUGCGGUGAAUACGUUCCCGGGGCU